Molecule: small RNA, 141 nt
Filed under: Escherichia fergusonii
Lineage: Bacteria; Pseudomonadati; Pseudomonadota; Gammaproteobacteria; Enterobacterales; Enterobacteriaceae
Description: Short Intergenic Abundant RNA
Rfam family: Short Intergenic Abundant RNA
About the family: This family contains multiple ncRNA from E. coli that were identified in a large scale screen of E. coli, were they were called candidates 43,55 and 61. These RNAs have also been identified by other groups and called QUAD RNAs.
Source: RNAcentral
UUGACAUUCUGACCGUGAAGGCAUACUUUCAGGAGUGAGGGUAGAGCGGGGUUUCCCCGCCCUGGUAGUCUUAGUAAGCUGGGUAGCUAACGACUAAGAGCACCACGAUGAUGAUCCACUUCAUCAUGACCCUUUCCUUAU